Epinephelus fuscoguttatus (brown-marbled grouper) is the source of this 2512-nucleotide RNA transcript. It is a transcript of the gene named SMU1 DNA replication regulator and spliceosomal factor a, with no coding region annotated. The record is from RefSeq and is a predicted model, not a curated record. The transcript is spliced from 13 exons. NCBI's taxonomy places the organism in Eukaryota, Metazoa, Chordata, Actinopteri, Perciformes, Serranidae.
CUUCCGUGUUUGCGUCCGUGUCCUGCGUGUCUUGCCUAUCUCGCAGACUCGAGUGGUUUUUGGCUACAGUUUUGAGAUAAAUAAUCAUGUCUCUGGAGGUGGAAUCAGCAGACGUGAUCCGUCUGAUUAUGCAGUACUUAAAGGAAAAUAACCUGCAGCGGACAUUAGCCACCCUGCAGGAGGAGACCACCGUGUCCCUGAACACUGUGGACAGUAUAGAGAGCUUUGUGGCGGACAUAAACAGCGGCCACUGGGACACUGUCCUGCAAGCCAUCCAGUCCCUCAAGCUGCCAGACAAGACCCUGAUAGACCUUUAUGAACAGGUGGUGUUAGAGCUGAUCGAGUUGAGAGAGUUGGGUGCAGCCCGUUCCCUCCUCAGGCAGACAGACCCCAUGAUCAUGCUGAAACAGACCCAGCCAGAGAGAUACAUCCACCUGGAGAACCUGUUGGCUCGCUCGUACUUCGAUCCCAGAGAAGCAUAUCCAGACGGCAGCAGCAAGGAGAAGCGCCGGGCAGCCAUCGCCCAGGCUCUGGCUGGAGAGGUCAGCGUGGUGCCGCCCUCUCGUCUCAUGGCUCUGCUGGGACAGUCUCUGAAGUGGCAGCAGCAUCAGGGCCUCCUGCCUCCUGGUAUGACUAUCGAUUUGUUCAGGGGUAAAGCAGCCGUUAAAGAUGUGGAGGAGGAGCGCUUCCCCACCCAGCUCAGCAGACACAUCAAGUUUGGACAGAAGUCUCAUGUGGAGUGUUCCCGAUUCUCCCCUGAUGGUCAGUACCUGGUCACUGGCUCUGUGGACGGCUUCAUCGAGGUGUGGAACUUCACCACUGGCAAAAUCAGAAAGGAUCUGAAGUACCAGGCUCAGGAUAACUUCAUGAUGAUGGACGAUGCAGUGUUGUGUAUGGGCUUCAGUAGAGACACAGAGAUGUUGGCCACCGGAGCUCAGGAUGGAAAGAUCAAGGUGUGGAAGAUCCAGAGCGGCCAGUGUCUGAGGAGGUUUGAGCGCGCCCACAGUAAAGGAGUAACAUGCAUCAGUUUCUGUAAAGACAGCAGCCAGCUCCUCAGUGCCUCCUUCGACCAGACAAUCAGAAUCCACGGGCUGAAGUCUGGCAAAACUCUAAAGGAGUUCCGCGGUCACUCGUCAUUUGUGAACGAGGCCACCUUCACUCCAGACGGUCACCACGUCAUCAGCGCUUCUUCAGACGGUACAGUCAAGAUGUGGAACAUGAAGACCACCGAGUGCACCAACACCUUCAAGCCUCUGGGCACGUCGGCCGGCACUGACAUCACAGUCAACAACGUCAUCCAGCUGCCCAAGAACCCGGAGCACUUUGUCGUGUGUAACCGCUCCAACACGGUGGUCAUCAUGAACAUGCAGGGACAGAUCGUGAGGAGUUUCAGCUCUGGUAAGAGGGAAGGUGGUGACUUUGUGUGCUGCACUCUGUCGCCCCGCGGCGAGUGGAUCUACUGCGUGGGUGAAGACUUUGUGCUCUACUGCUUCAGCACCGUCACCGGCAAGCUGGAGAGAACUCUGACGGUCCAUGAGAAGGAUGUGAUCGGCAUCGCCCACCACCCCCACCAGAACCUCAUCGCCACCUACAGUGAGGACGGUCUGCUGAAGCUAUGGAAGCCUUGAGGUGUUUGACGCCAAACUGAGACUGGACGUUGUCACACAGCAGCUGCUCUCUUCACUCUGGACACUGCUCUACCCGCUCUGUUUCAGAUCACUGUGAACUCAAGGACUUGUUAUACAUGUGGACGAUCUCAGUAACAGCAUACGUUUAAAUAUUCAGCUGCAUGUUUCAGUUUGUGCAGGUGAUUUACCUUUUUACCACUGAGGCCAUGCAGCUGGAUAUUAGUUACCAAAGGCAGAGUGUUUGCACAGCAGAGCCCUUUUUAUCUGAAACUGUUUCAGUUUGUCCAAAAGAAAUGGUGACAUCUUACAAAGCAAUAUAAGUUUGCUUUACUUUUAUUCAGUUGAUGAAUUUGUAUGGGAGUGAAUGUGUCAUGUUGUUUCAGUGAUUCAAAAUAUCCAUAAUUCAGUUUCAGUUGCAGGUGAAAUAAAAAAGGUUCUGCUGUUCAGCACCUGACCUUGACAGACAAAUGUCUUUUUGGAGAGAGGAGGGGAGUUGUCAGAUGUAGAUACUAGACUCUGUUUCGUUUUUAAAAUUCCUCUUUUUUUGUAAAUAUAUUUUUUAUUUGCAUUUUGGAUUUUCCAAGAACACCUGGUUAAAUAAUGUUUUGUUGUUUGUGUCUCUUUUUCUUCUUCUCUCCCAGUUUGAAUUGAAUGGCAUCACUUCAAAUUCUUUUAUAUAUAUUUGUGCCCUGAAAUGAUUUAGUUCUUUCAGCAUGGAGAACCACAGAAUACAUUCAAUUUAAUAAAAAGUCAUUGUACGGCUUUUUCCCUACAUUAAGAACAUGCAUUGGAAUGAGACGUAAUAUUUCAAUGUACAAAUGUCAAUUGCUGAUAUUUUGUCUUUGCCAUUAAAGCUAUUUAACCAGAACACUGGAGAGAAGUGA